UUGCAUUCUUAAUUAUUACAAUAUUAUUAAAUCUUUGUUAAUUAUUUAAUCAUGUAGCAGCAAACCUGCGAGGCAUAAAAAAUGCAGACUACGUAGACUAGAGUGACGGCUAUCAUGUACAAUCCACUCGCGAGCAAUCGGCAACGCUUGUCGAAGCGAAGAUGCAGAUAUUCGUAGCUCGAAGUCAACCUUAAUUUCAUGAACACCGGUAGAUACAAACUAGAGGUGAUCGGUACCACGAGUAUGAAAGAGAG
Nylanderia fulva is the source of this 254-nucleotide non-coding RNA. The record is from RefSeq and is a predicted model, not a curated record. Lineage: Eukaryota; Metazoa; Arthropoda; Insecta; Hymenoptera; Formicidae.